RNAcentral lists this ribosomal RNA (2407 nucleotides) under Triticum aestivum (bread wheat). Its description in RNAcentral is "partial small subunit ribosomal RNA". The record is from RNAcentral. Lineage: Eukaryota; Viridiplantae; Streptophyta; Magnoliopsida; Poales; Poaceae.
GGGUAUAGAGGACAGCGGGAGGCGCAAGUGCGUCGUCGUCGUCGUUUCCGCCGCAGCGUGCAAGGAAGGACGCAGCUCAGGAACAAGGAAAGAAGAACUACCUGCCCCCGGUCUCGCAGCGGUUCGCCGUGCCGCGCCGGCGGCCGCGGCUCCUCCUGGGACUGGCCGUGGCACGAGGAGGAGGCCAGGUACUCCGCCGCCUACUAGUCCUGCUGCCGCUGUUCUUCCGCGGAGCUGUUCCCUCGUCCGCCCAGCGAAGGGAGCUGCAGAAGGCACCGGAGUGGCAGCGAGACUACUAUGACCACCUGCCGCGGCCGCCGCUCACCGGCCAGUAGCCCGUGCGCGGCACCGUGCCGACGUUGGAGCGUCUGAAGCAGUACGGGACGAAGGAGAAGUAGCAGCCGUACCGGUAGGGUGAGAGGGAGUUCUCUUAAGGUCUAGCGCCGACCCGGCAGUCCUCCCACCAGUAUUCUUGUGACUUCGACGAGAAGACCCCCUAGAACGACGUUCCAACGAAUGUUCUUCGUACCUCUUGUGACUAGACAAAUGUGGUUAAUCGAAGAAUUCAGAGAGACAAUAUGUUUACGGAGACACAAAACUGUCACCAGCGCUUCGCGGUGGGGGGAUAGACGUUUCUCCUUUAAGAUUGUGUAGUCGUUACACAGUGGUACAGGUAUGCGUCCACCGAUGAGGGUGCGAGGUCUACUUGACUGAAUACCUCAACUGUACUUCGUGUAUGCUACCACGCCGUAAGAGGUCUCCUAACGGGAACGUAUGAACCAACAGCGUCAGUAUCUCUAGCGCUGCUUUCUACGCUCCCAAGUCCUAGUCAGUUCAAGUCCGAAGAAGAGUUAAAAGUCCUACAUGAACAGGGUCACCUAACAACGUACAACGUAGGAAAACUAGAUAAACAGGGAACAGAUGCCCUAAAUGCAAGGCCUGACCCUCAAGUCCCACGCUUUACACCUGUCGGACUUGAUACCGUUUCAAAAUUGUCACUGGACACCGUGUUCCCCUUUAGACUCGGGAGGAACGUUACGACAUCCAAUGUAGCUGGCAUUUCAGGAGCCGUAGUUAGUGGACAUGGUCUUUGGACGUACCUCUUCCGUGUCCCUGACAUGACUACUAAGGGGAAUACUCCCCGGAAAGUUUUCCCUGCGGGGCCGGACCACACGGAGCGGUAAACUUGGACUUCCCAAUGAUUCGAGUAAAAGUCGCCAUAAUUCAUGCUAGUAGCCGCAUGUGAUGCCCGUGCACGAACAAGUAUACUUCUCAGUAUACCUGUCCGAUUUCGUCACCCAGUGGUACCCGCAUCGAGAGGAGGAGGAGCCUUAGUAAGACGUGAAGAGAGUACGCUAAGGAGACUUGUUCGUCGACAUGUGUGAGUCGAUGUAGACGCACUGGCGGCCGCGGCGACCGUAGCAGAAGAGGUACGAAAUGAAGGAACACCUACAGCACUCGGACGCGAUACAGAAGCUCGGCGACGCCACCCAGCCGUACUUGCGCUACGACCACAUGCACUACCGCCGCCGCCCGUAGAAGCUCCCGAAGGAGUUGCCGACCAUGAUGCUGCCCGGGUUCUUGUGUGACCAAAUGACCCACUCCUUCGUGCACAAGCAGUCCCACACCGUGAGCCUCUCCCACCCGUAGGAGGAGAUGCAGGAGCAGCGCGUCUAGGACGAGACCCGCGAGGAACGGCCGGAGGAGGUGGCCCGGCCCCAGAUGACCUUCGAGAUCAGUCGGUCCUCCUGUAGCCACAGUAGUAAACGAACACACACAACCUUGAAUCUUAACACAUCCUACACACAUUCUACUGUUCUUUGAUCUUCUUUUCUAACUUCCGAGUGACUGACGGGUAGUACACCGCUCAUCUCGUGUGGAUGGUCUCCCUCACCCUCUAGUUUCAGUAACUGACGGGUAAUAGAACGAUAUUGUUCAUGCAUGUAAAGUACCUUUUACUAUUCAACAGCCAAUUUAGUAAACGACUUUCCCGCGUUUUCCUAAGGUUGUACUGGGGUUCGUCUUCGCCCUGAUUCGAAGUCUUUCGAUCUUCCGGACGUGGACCACUCUACAUACCACUUCUCCACUUGAUCACAUCGGAUACCCUGAUACCUCUUUUAAUUAGACCUUACAGUGUAAACAAUUGAAUACUAGUCGUGUAACAACGAAUACUAAUCGUGUAGGUAACCGAAUACUAAUAGAUGUCAGACUAGGUUGAAAGGUCUUUAUAUAUAUGAACAUAGGUCAGCCUACGUACAUCAUUCGGUAGAAACUAAAAGACUUUGACAAGUGUUCCGUCUCCUGACAAUCCGUCACAAUGUUCGUUUAGGUUACGGUCGACUCGGUUGAAGGCAACGAUCGUUCGAUGUUUAGUAGUCGACCUUAGUGCGGUAGUACGAAAAUGGGU